This 474-nucleotide long non-coding RNA is filed under the name Homo sapiens (human). Its description in RNAcentral is "non-protein coding lnc-HEATR6-1:13". The record is from RNAcentral. Lineage: Eukaryota; Metazoa; Chordata; Mammalia; Primates; Hominidae.
GUGUUUUUCCAAAGCCUUCCAACAGCAACAUGAAGUUGGCAGCCUUCCUCCUCCUGUGAUCCUCAUCAUCUUCAGCCUAGAGGUACAAGAGCUUCAGGCUGCAGGAGACCGGCUUUUGGGGGCCCCUUUUUACAGAUGAGAAAAGUUCCAGAAAGACCCAGAGACAUAAUCAGGUACCUGCGUCGAGCUCUGCACAGGUGACUGGGACUGCAACCCCGGAGACCACUGUGUCAGCAAUGGGUGUGGCCAUGAGUGUGUUGCAGGGUAAGGACAGAUGAAGAGUUAUCUUAAGGAUCAUCUUUCCCUAAGAUCGUCAUCCCUUCCUGGAGUUCCUAUCUUCCAAGAUGUGACUGUCUGGAGUUCCUUGACUAGGAAGAUGGAUGAAAACAGCAAGCCUGUGGAUGGAGACUACAGGGGAUAUGGGAGGCAGGGAAGAGGGGUUGUUUCUUUUAAUAAAUCAUCAUUGUUAAAAGC